This 831-nucleotide transfer RNA is filed under the name uncultured Synechococcus sp. RNAcentral's name for it is "partial contains 16S ribosomal RNA, 16S-23S ribosomal RNA intergenic spacer, and 23S ribosomal RNA". The stretch from base 202 to 275 matches the Rfam family "tRNA". The record is from RNAcentral. Lineage: Bacteria; Bacillati; Cyanobacteriota; Cyanophyceae; Synechococcales; Synechococcaceae.
UUGGAUCACCUCCUAACAGGGAGACAAAACAAUGAUUUUGAUGUCUGAGUAAUUUAUUCUUAGGCCAAAAUCCUGUCACUUUAGGUCGAUCGGUACCUCAACUUUGAAGCUAAGAGAGUUCCAGCAAUGGUUGUCUGCUUAGUGGAGAUUUUUAGUUCCUAAACUUUGUCUAGUUCACAACCCAUUAGGGAUGAGACUCCUGGGCCAUUAGCUCAGGUGGUUAGAGCGCACCCCUGAUAAGGGUGAGGUCCCUGGUUCAAGUCCAGGAUGGCCCAUUCGGUGUAGGGGGUUUAACUCAGUUGGUAGAGCGCCUGCUUUGCAAGCAGGAUGUCAGGAGUUCGAGUCUCCUAACCUCCACUGACUACCAAAAUCCCCAUCUCCAAAACCUGGAGUAUGAACUCGUAUGGAUUGUGAUUUAGAUGUGUCCGCUAGAUGACCCUAGCUUCUUGUCAUUUUAAGGCAUGGAAAUGAUUCCAUGAUAUUUAAUUGAUAGGAUGCUGGGCUCGAUGCAAUGUAUUGAGAGAUCAAUGCAUUGUUUUGAUGUCUGGCCGAACCUUGACAACUGCAUAGUAAGUCUGGAAAGAAUAAAGCAUCUUUAUGGAUGCAUCAUUCUUGAGUGUUAAUUCACGAUGGGAUGGUGUUAAUUCUAAGCAAGAGCCGAGACUCCAGCAUGUUCUUUCAAAUGUGUCGAGCAUUUGAGAGUUUGAUUUUAAUUUCUAGUUUUAGAAAUUAGAUGAAUCUGUUUCAACAACAGCAAGCGUGCUGGAGAUACAUUGGUCAAGCUACAAAGGGCUCACGGCGGAUACCUUGGCACACAGAGGCGAUGAAGGA